AACGAACGCUGGCGGCAUGCCUAACACAUGCAAGUCGAACGAAACCGUCGGGUCUUGGUGCGCACGGGGGCGGGAGGCGGGGGAACCUACCCGUAGGUAAGGAAUAACUCACCGAGGGGGGAGCUAAUAAAGGAGAAUGUAUUAGCACCAAAGAGUUAUCGCCGUUGGGUGGGCGCGGGUUGGAUUAGCUGGUUGGUAGGGUAAAAGCCUACCAAGGCGACGAUCCAGAGCUGGUCGGAGAGGAUGCUCAGCCACACUGGGACUGAGACACGGACCAGAAUCCUACGCAACGCAGCAGUGGAGAAUAUUAGACAAGGGGCGAAAGCCUGAUACAGCAACGUCGCGUGUGUCAUGAAGGCCUUAGUGUUGUACAGCUCUUUUACACGAGAUGUUAAUGACAGUACCGGGAGAAUAAGCACCGGCUAACUACGUG
Molecule: ribosomal RNA, 433 nt
Filed under: uncultured bacterium
Lineage: Bacteria
Description: partial 16S ribosomal RNA
Rfam family: Bacterial small subunit ribosomal RNA
Source: RNAcentral